This is a long non-coding RNA of Malaclemys terrapin pileata, 406 nucleotides long. RefSeq lists it as uncharacterized. The transcript has 3 exons. NCBI's taxonomy places the organism in Eukaryota, Metazoa, Chordata, Testudines, Emydidae. The record is from RefSeq and is a predicted model, not a curated record.
CACUAGGAGAUCUACUGAGAUGCCACCUGUGGGCAGGAAACACAGUAAUGCUUAAUGUGAUAUUCCACGGCUAUUGAAGAGUUACUUCCUUGUCAAACCGAUGAGUGGCUGCAGAGAUCAAGGAACUCAGAGAUUCCAAGGACCUGGAGAAGCAAGGGCUCCUUUGAGCUGAAUAUGAUCCUAUCUGAACAGCGUAGGUUGCUAAUGUUGAAACUUUAAGGUCCUCUACAUCUGGUCCUCCGUCUGCUGUGGAGUCUCUGGCUUUGCAAUUGAGAAGGAACUGCUCAGGAAUCUCCAGUCCAGAGCGCAUGGCAUGCAUAGAUCAUAUGGUGGGAGCACCCACAGACUCUACCUUAUUCUUGGCUGGACAAAGAUCGCACAACCUCAGAAGAUAAAGAACCACUAG